This 1306-nucleotide ribosomal RNA is filed under the name uncultured bacterium. RNAcentral's name for it is "bacterial SSU rRNA". It matches the Rfam family "Bacterial small subunit ribosomal RNA", at positions 28 to 1381 of the family's 1533-position model. The record is from RNAcentral.
AACGUACGCUGGCGGCACGCCUAACACAUGCAAGUCGAACGAAGUAGCAAUACUUAGUGGCAGACGGGUGAGUAACAUGUAGGUAUCUGCCCUUUGGCCUGGAAUAACACGAGGAAACUUGUGCUAAUACCGGAUAAGUCUUUACGGAGAAAGCUUUAUGCACCAUUGGAUGAGCCUGCACUUGAUUAGUUUGUUGGUGGGGUAAUGGCCUACCAAGACUGUGAUCAAUAGCUGAUUUGAGAGGAUGAUCAGCCACAUUGGGACUGAGACACGGCCCAAACUCCUACGGGAGGCAGCAGUGGGGAAUCUUGCACAAUGGAGGAAACUCUGAUGCAGCGAUGCCGCGUGAGUGAAGAAGGCCCUUGGGUUGUAAAGCUCUUUCGUCGGGGAAGAAAAUGACUGUACCCGAAUAAGAAGGUCCGGCUAACUUCGUGCCAGCAGCCGCGGUAAUACGAAGGGACCUAGCGUAGUUCGGAAUUACUGGGCCUAAAGAGUUCGUAGGUGGUUGAAAAAGUUAGUGGUGAAAUCCCAGAGCUUAACUCUGGAACUGCCAUUAAAACUUUUCAGCUAGAGUAUGAUAGAGGAAAGCAGAAUUUCUAGUGUAGAGGUGAAAUUCGUAGAUAUUAGAAAGAAUACCAAUUGCGAAGGCAGCUUUCUGGAUCAUUACUGACACUGAGGAACGAAAGCAUGGGUAGCGAAGAGGAUUAGAUACCCUCGUAGUCCAUGCCGUAAACGAUGUGUGUUAGACGUUGGAAAUUUAUUUUCAGUGUCGCAGGGAAACCGAUAAACACACCGCCUGGGGAGUACGACCGCAAGGUUAAAACUCAAAUGAAUUGACGGGGACCCGCACAAGUAGUGGAGCAUGUGGUUUAAUUCGAAGAUACGCGCAGAACCUUACCAACACUUGACAUGUUCGUCGCGACUCUAAGAGAUUAGAGUUUUCGGUUCGGCCGGACGAAACACAGGUGCUGCAUGGCUGUCGUCAGCUCGUGUCGUGAGAUGUUGGGUUAAGUCCCGCAACGAGCGCAACCCUCACUUUUAGUUGCCAUCAUUUAGUUGGGCACUCUGAAAGAACUGCCAGUGAUAAGCUGGAGGAAGGUGGGGAUGACGUCAAGUCCUCAUGGCCCUUACGUGUUGGGCUACACACGUGCUACAAUGGUAUCUACAACAGGAAGCAAGACUGCGAAGUUAAGCAAAUCCCUAAAAGAUACCUCAGUUCGGAUCGCACUCUGCAACUCGAGUGCAUGAAGCUGGAAUUACUAGUAAUCGUGGAUCAGCGUGCCACGGUGAAUGCGUUCCCGGGUCU